RNAcentral lists this ribosomal RNA (908 nucleotides) under Acidaminobacter sp. enrichment culture clone HB_2. RNAcentral describes it as "bacterial SSU rRNA". It matches the Rfam family "Bacterial small subunit ribosomal RNA", at positions 8 to 917 of the family's 1533-position model. Lineage: Bacteria; Bacillati; Bacillota; Clostridia; Peptostreptococcales; Acidaminobacteraceae. The record is from RNAcentral.
AGAGUUUGAUCCUGGCUCAGGAUGAACGCUGGCGGCGUGCCUAACACAUGCAAGUCGAGCGCGAUUAGUUGGAACGGAGACUUCGGUCAAAGAGAAGACUAUGAAAGCGGCGGACGGGUGAGUAACGCGUGAGCAACCUGCCCUGUACAGGGGGAUAGCCACUGGAAACGGUGAUUAAUACCCCAUAACCCCAAAGGAUCGCAUGGUCUAAUGGGCAAAGCCUUGGCGGUACAGGAUGGGCUCGCGUCUGAUUAGCUAGUUGGUGAGGUAACGGCUCACCAAGGCGACGAUCAGUAGCCGACCUGAGAGGGUGAACGGCCACACUGGAACUGAGACACGGUCCAGACUCCUACGGGAGGCAGCAGUGGGGAAUAUUGCACAAUGGGCGCAAGCCUGAUGCAGCAACGCCGCGUGAGUGAAGAAGGCCUUCGGGUCGUAAAACUCUGUCCUAAGGGAAGAAGAAGUGACGGUACCUUAGGAGGAAGCCCCGGCUAACUACGUGCCAGCAGCCGCGGUAAUACGUAGGGGGCAAGCGUUAUCCGGAAUCACUGGGCGUAAAGGGUGCGUAGGCGGCUGAUCAAGCCAGGGGUGAAAGGCUGUGGCUUAACCAUGGUAAGCCUUUGGAACUGGUCAGCUUGAGUGCAGGAGAGGAAAGCGGAAUUCCUAGUGUAGCGGUGAAAUGCGUAGAUAUUAGGAGGAACACCCGUGGCGAAGGCGGCUUUCUGGACUGUAACUGACGCUGAGGCACGAAAGCGUGGGGAGCAAACAGGAUUAGAUACCCUGGUAGUCCACGCUGUAAACGAUGAAUACUAGGUGUCGGGGGUCAAAGCCCGGUGCCGCAGCUAACGCAUUAAGUAUUCCGCCUGGGGAGUACGGUCGCAAGACUGAAACUCAAAUGAAUUGACGGG